Molecule: unclassified non-coding RNA, 428 nt
Filed under: soil metagenome
Description: partial contains 5.8S ribosomal RNA, internal transcribed spacer 2, and large subunit ribosomal RNA
Rfam family: 5.8S ribosomal RNA (bases 1-120)
Source: RNAcentral
GAUGAAGAACGUAGCGAAACGCGAUACGUAAUGUGAAUUGCAGAAUUCAGUGAAUCAUCGAAUCUUUGAACGCACCUUGCGCCCCUCGGCAUUCCGAGGGGCAUGCCUGUUUGAGUGUCACGGAUCCUUCGAACCCCGCCGGUCUCCGACGAGCCGGCCGCCUGGGUUCGGUCCUGGGCGCUACGCCACCCCUCCGGGGCUGGCCCGCCCCAAAAGCAUCAGCUGGGCCUCGCGGCGUGGGCGGGCUCCGAUCGGCGUGAUAAGUCAUCUGCCGAGAGGGUGCCCGUCCGUCCCGCGGAUCGCGGUCCGCUCCCAACCCCUCCCCGCGCGCCGUCCCCCCCCGGGGAGCGCGCAGGGACGUUUCGACGCUCUGGCCUCAAAUCAGGUAGGACCACCCGCUGAACUUAAGCAUAUCAAUAAGCGGAGGA